This is a long non-coding RNA of Achroia grisella, 202 nucleotides long. RefSeq lists it as uncharacterized. The record is from RefSeq and is a predicted model, not a curated record. The transcript is spliced from 2 exons. Lineage: Eukaryota; Metazoa; Arthropoda; Insecta; Lepidoptera; Pyralidae.
AUGACUACAGUUUUAUAUUUGUAUUGUUGUUUAUAUUUUCGUAUGUAAGUAAUGGACAUGACCUUGAGAUAAAACCUGCUGGAUUGAUUGGAAUAAUUUGUCAAGGAAUAUCCUUAGAAAACUGGUAUAAUUAUGCAAAAUCAACAUAAUCUUUGAAACAUCAUGGUACCAACACAUAUAUAUAAAUGCAAGAAUAUAGAUA